RNAcentral lists this unclassified non-coding RNA (349 nucleotides) under uncultured Hohenbuehelia. RNAcentral describes it as "sequence contains ITS1". The stretch from base 1 to 105 matches the Rfam family "5.8S ribosomal RNA", at positions 50 to 154 of the family's 154-position model. The record is from RNAcentral. Lineage: Eukaryota; Fungi; Basidiomycota; Agaricomycetes; Agaricales; Pleurotaceae.
GAAAUGCGAUAAGUAAUGUGAAUUGCAGAAUUCAGUGAAUCAUCGAAUCUUUGAACGCACCUUGCGCCCUUUGGUAUUCCGAAGGGCAUGCCUGUUUGAGUGUCAUUAAAUUCUCAACCUUAGAAGGCUUUUGAAGUCGUCUUAAGGCUUGGACUUGGAGGUUGCAGGCUCUUGAAGUCGGCUCCUCUUAAAUGUAUUAGCUGGGUUUGCGCCUUCAGCCUAUUGGUGUGAUAAUUAUCUACGCCUCUUGGGUCGUUAGCGUGUUUACUUCUCUAGCUUCUAAUCGUCCCUUGUGGACAAUACUUGACCAUUUGACCUCAAAUCAGGUAGGACUACCCGCUGAACUUAA